GUAGGUGAACCUGCGGAAGGAUCAUUAAGAAUCUUCUUGAGCUGUCGGCUUCGGCCUUCAGCGCCUCGGUGGUGCACUUCGGUGCCCGCCUUGGUUAAACCCAUUGUGAACCUUAAACAAAUUUUCGCUUCGGCAGCGGUCCAUACCCUUUAGCUAGGUCAGGAUUGUCAGCCUGCCGGCAGCACCCAAAACCAAACUCUUUUGUUUAAAAACAUGCCUGUCUGAACAAAUAUUUUCGAAUGAAAUUAAAACUUUCAACAACGGAUCUCUUGGUUCUC
Molecule: unclassified non-coding RNA, 278 nt
Filed under: rhizosphere metagenome
Description: partial ribosomal RNA internal transcribed spacer region
Source: RNAcentral